This 1692-nucleotide ribosomal RNA is filed under the name Coslenchus sp. 1 JH-2014. Its description in RNAcentral is "SSU rRNA". It matches the Rfam family "Eukaryotic small subunit ribosomal RNA". Lineage: Eukaryota; Metazoa; Nematoda; Chromadorea; Rhabditida; Tylenchidae. The record is from RNAcentral.
AUGUAUAAGUAUAAACGAUUCAAUCGUGAAACCGCGAACGGCUCAUUAUAACAGCUAUAAUUUACUUGAUCUUGACAAUCCUACUUGGAUAACUGUGGUAAUUCUAGAGCUAAUACAUGCACCAAAGCUCUGACCUUGCGGGAAGAGUGCAUUUAUUAGAACAAAACCAGGCGGCUUCGGCCGUACUUUGUUGACUCAGAAUAACUAAGCUGAUCGCAUGGGCUUGCCCCGGCGACGUGUCUUUCAAGUAUCUGCCUUAUCAACUUUCGAUGGUAGUGUAUCUGACUACCAUGGUUGUGACGGGUAACGGAGGAUAAGGGUUCGACUCCGGAGAAGGGGCCUGAGAAAUGGCCACUACGUCUAAGGAUGGCAGCAGGCGCGCAAAUUACCCACUCUCAGAACGAGGAGGUAGUGACGAAAAAUAACGAGGCCGUUCUCUAUGAGGCCGGUCAUCGGAAUGGGUACAAUCUAAACCCUUUAACGAGUAUCUAUGAGAGGGCAAGUCUGGUGCCAGCAGCCGCGGUAAUUCCAGCUCUCAAAAUGCAUAGAAUUAUUGCUGCGGUUAAAAAGCUCGUAGUUGGAUCUGUGCCAGGGCGUCGGUCCACCUUCGGGUGGUACUGCCAACCCUGGCUUUUUGCUGGUUUUCUCGUCGUGGUCUUAACCGAUCGCGGCGGGUGGCUGGCGAUUUUACUUUGAACAAAUCAGAGUGCUUAACACAGGCGUUUCGCUUGAAUGUUCGUGCAUGGAAUAAUAGAAACGGAUUUCGGUUCUAUUUUAUUGGUUUUAUAGACUGAGAUAAUGGUUAACAGAGACAAACGGGGGCAUUCGUAUUGCUGCGUGAGAGGUGAAAUUCUUGGACCGCAGCAAGACGAACUACAGCGAAAGCAUUUGCCAAGAAUGUCUUCAUUAAUCAAGAACGRAAGUCAGAGGUUCGAAGGCGAUCAGAUACCGCCCUAGUUCUGACCGUAAACGAUGCCAACUAGCGAUCCGCCGGCGGAUAAUUCGCCCUGGUGGGGAGCUUCCCGGAAACGAAAGUCUUCCGGUUCCGGGGGAAGUAUGGUUGCAAAGCUGAAACUUAAAGGAAUUGACGGAAGGGCACCACCAGGAGUGGAGCCUGCGGCUUAAUUUGACUCAACACGGGAAAACUCACCCGGCCCGGACACCGUAAGGAUUGACAGAUUGAUAGCUUUUUCAUGAUUCGGUGGAUGGUGGUGCAUGGCCGUUCUUAGUUCGUGGAGCGAUUUGUCUGGUUUAUUCCGAUAACGAGCGAGACUCUAGCCUACUAAAUAGUCCGCACAUUGCUUCUGUGCUGCGCGACUUCUUAGAGGGAUUUUCGGUGUUCAGCCGCACGAAAUUGAGCAAUAACAGGUCUGUGAUGCCCUUAGAUGUCCGGGGCUGCACGCGCGCUACACUGGCGAAAUCAGCGUGCUUGUCCUUUCUCGAAAGAGAUUGGUAAACCAUUGAAAAUUCGCCGUGAUUGGGAUCGGAAAUUGCAAUUAUUUUCCGUGAACGAGAAAUUCCAAGUAAGUGCGAGUCAUCAACUCGCGUUGAUUACGUCCCUGCCCUUUGUACACACCGCCCGUCGCUACCCGGGACUGAGCCAUUUCGAGAAAUUUGGGGAUUGCUGAUCAGCGGUCUUUCGGGAUUGCUUUUUGGUGAAAACCAACUUAAUCGAAGUGGCUUGAACCGGGU